Molecule: long non-coding RNA, 132 nt
Filed under: Phascolarctos cinereus (koala)
Lineage: Eukaryota; Metazoa; Chordata; Mammalia; Diprotodontia; Phascolarctidae
Description: lncRNA (ENSPCIG00000006882.2)
Source: RNAcentral
GAAGAAGCAUACUACAUCAGGAAAUCCCCUUCCUUCUCUGCAUGUCUGCUCCCUGUGUGCCUUUGAUGAAAAUCAGACUUUAGCACAGACCGAGCCAAUACAGCUAUCGAGGAGGAGGAAACAAGACUGUCG